UACGUAGGUGGCAAGCGUUAUCCGGAAUUACUGGGUGUAAAGGGCGUGUAGGCGGGAGUGUAAGUCAGAUGUGAAAUUCCACUGCUCAACGGUGGCGCUGCAUCUGAAACUAUACUUCUUGAGUACUGGAGAGGAAAGUGGAAUUCCUAGUGUAGCGGUGAAAUGCGUAGAUAUUAGGAGGAACACCAGUGGCGAAGGCGGCUUUCUGGACAGUAACUGACGCUGAGGCGCGAAAGCGUGGGGAGCAAACAGG
RNAcentral lists this ribosomal RNA (253 nucleotides) under uncultured bacterium. RNAcentral's name for it is "partial 16S ribosomal RNA". It matches the Rfam family "Bacterial small subunit ribosomal RNA", at positions 524 to 776 of the family's 1533-position model. The record is from RNAcentral.